RNAcentral lists this transfer RNA (73 nucleotides) under Ipomoea nil (Japanese morning glory). It matches the Rfam family "tRNA". Rfam says of the family: Transfer RNA (tRNA) molecules are approximately 80 nucleotides in length. Their secondary structure includes four short double-helical elements and three loops (D, anti-codon, and T loops). Lineage: Eukaryota; Viridiplantae; Streptophyta; Magnoliopsida; Solanales; Convolvulaceae. The record is from Rfam by way of RNAcentral.
GGGGAUGUAGCUCAGAUGGUAGAGCGCUUGCUUCGCAUAUGAGAGGUACGGGGAUCAGUACCCCGCUUUUCCA